RNAcentral lists this ribosomal RNA (269 nucleotides) under uncultured bacterium. RNAcentral's name for it is "partial 16S ribosomal RNA". It matches the Rfam family "Bacterial small subunit ribosomal RNA", at positions 29 to 314 of the family's 1533-position model. The record is from RNAcentral.
AACGAACGCUGGCGGCAUGCCUAACACAUGCAAGUCGAACGAGACCAAGGCUUCGGCCUGAAGUCUAGUGGCGCACGGGUGCGUAACGCGUGGGAAUCUACCCUUGGGUUCGGAAUAACAGUUAGAAAUGACUGCUAAUACCGGAUGAUGACGUAAGUCCAAAGAUUUAUCGCCCAGGGAUGAGCCCGCGUAAGAUUAGCUUGUUGGUGAGGUAAAGGCUCACCAAGGCGACGAUCUUUAGCUGGUCUGAGAGGAUGAUCAGCCACACU